ACUUCUAUAUAGAGAUAGAUAGAUAAUUUAUUUUGUUAAUAAUAAAUUUGAGAAAAUUACAUAAAUAAAAAAUUAUAAAAAAAUAUUAAAUAUUUUAAAAAAUUAAAUAUCAUAAAAGAGAAAAAUAAUAUAUACUUUUACUUUUAAAACAUAAAUCGUAUACAUUACGCUACUAAUUCAUAAAUUAAUAUAUUACCUCUAUAAUUUAAAAUUUCUGAUACACAUUAUUU
Molecule: long non-coding RNA, 230 nt
Filed under: Lathyrus oleraceus (garden pea)
Lineage: Eukaryota; Viridiplantae; Streptophyta; Magnoliopsida; Fabales; Fabaceae
Description: Pisum sativum (pea) long non-coding RNA (PSAT_LNC011363)
Source: RNAcentral